CGGGUGAGUAACACGUGAGGAACGUGCCCCGGAGACCGGGAUAACAGCGGGAAACCGCUGCUAAUACCGGAUACCUUCCUUUGACCGCAUGGUCGAUUGAAGAAAUGGAUUCCGCUCCGGGAGCGCCUCGCGGUCUAUCAGCUUGUUGGUGGGGUAACGGCCUACCAAGGCGACGACGGAUAGCUGGUCUGAGAGGACGAUCAGCCACACUGGGACUGAGACACGGCCCAGACUCCUACGGGAGGCAGCAGUGGGGAAUCUUGCCCAAUGGGCGAAAGCCUGAGGCAGCAACGCCGCGUGUGGGAUGAAGGCCCUUGGGUUGUAAACCACUUUCAGCAGGGACGAAAAUGACGGUACCUGCAGAAGAAGCCCCGGCCAACUACGUGCCAGC
This 391-nucleotide ribosomal RNA is filed under the name uncultured bacterium. RNAcentral's name for it is "bacterial SSU rRNA". It matches the Rfam family "Bacterial small subunit ribosomal RNA", at positions 103 to 512 of the family's 1533-position model. The record is from RNAcentral.